GGAUUAGAUACCCUGGUAGUCCACGCCGUAAACGAUGUCUACUAGCCGUUGGGGUACUUGAGACCUUGGUGGCGCAGCUAACGCACUAAGUAGACCGCCUGGGGAGUACGGCCGCAAGGUUAAAACUCAAAUGAAUUGACGGGGGCCCGCACAAGCGGUGGAGCAUGUGGUUUAAUUCGAUGCAGCGCGAAGAACCUUACCAGGCCUUGACAUCCUGAGAACUUCCUAGAGAUAGGUUGGUGCCUUCGGGAACUCAGAGACAGGUGCUGCAUGGCUGUCGUCAGCUCGUGUUG
RNAcentral lists this ribosomal RNA (293 nucleotides) under uncultured bacterium. Its description in RNAcentral is "partial 16S ribosomal RNA". It matches the Rfam family "Bacterial small subunit ribosomal RNA", at positions 775 to 1067 of the family's 1533-position model. The record is from RNAcentral.